UUUUUUUUUUUUUUUGAGAUGGAGUCUCGCUCUGUCGCCCAGGCUGGAGUACAGUGGUGUGAUCUCGGCUCACUGCAAGCUCCGCCUCCCAGGUUCCCGCCAUUCUCCUGCCUCAGCCUCCCCAGUAGCUGGGACUACAGGCGCCGCCACCGCGCCCAGCUAGUUUUUUGUAUUUUUUGGUAGAGAUGGGGUUUUACCGCAUUAGCCAGGAUGAUCUCGAUCUCCUGACCUCGUGAUCCACCCGUCUCGGCCUCCCAAAGUGCUGGGAUUAAAGGCUUGAGCCACCGCGCCCGGCCCGCAAAUUCUUAAAAUCCAUUUUUGUUAUGAUGGUCACAGACUUUUGAAGUUAUUAAAAAUUACAAUGCUUUUAGAAAAUGUGCAUUCAUUUGAAAAAUUAGUUUCAAGGAACUGACUUAAAACUAUCGUGGCAAGAAUAAUAACAGCAAAACCUUUGUUAAAGGAAAUUAUCUCUGUCAUUAAAGUCUAAAUAGAACUUUUCAUUUUCUCUGAAACUCAUUUUAAUGUUGCAGUAUAAUGGCAAUUCAACUCAGCAUUUUGUUGUUCUAAGAACUCAACGUGAGACUCAUAGAAGUGAUUAUUAAGGGAGUAAUUAUAUUUCAAAAAGAAACUGCUUGAUGAAAUGAUUGAAUUAUAGUGACAAAUGACAAAUCAUUGCCUAAUGCUGUGGUUUCAACGUGUCCCCAAGUUCAUGUGUUGAAAACUUAAUUCUAACAGUAUGAAGAGGCGGGACCUUCAAUAGGUGAUUAGGUGGCGAGGACUCCUCCCUCGUGAACUGAUUAAUGCCAUUAUAGCGAGAGGGCUAGUGAUCGUGGGCGUGGGCUCCGGAUACAGGGUGAGUUUGGCCCCCGUUUUCUCUCUGGGUCAUGUGCUCUCACCAUGCGAUGCUGCCCACCAUGGGACGACCCUCACCAGGUGCCGCGCGGCCUCUUGGACUUCCCAGCCUCCAGAACCAUGAGCCAAAGGAGCUUCUUUUCUGUAUAAAUUACCCAAUCUGUGUAGUCUGUUACAGCAGCAGAAAGCAGACUAAGAAGCCUAAUUAACACAACAGAGUGUGAGUGUGAGCAUGUGUGUAAGAGUAUAUGUGAAUGUGUGUGAGAGCAUGUGUGUGAGAGGAUACGUGACUGAGUGUGAGCAUGUGUGUGAGCAUAUGUGUAUGUGUGAAUGUGAGCAUGUAUGUGAAUAUAAAUGUGACUCUGAGUGUGAGUAUAUGAGUGUGAGUUUGUGAGUAUAUGUGAGUCUGUGUGAGCAUGUGUGUGUAUGAGUGAAUGUGUGAUCAUUGUGAAGCUAUAUGUGUGUAUGAGUAUAUGUGAGUAUAUGAGUCUGUGUGUGAGUACAUGUGUUAGUGUAUAUGUUACUGUGAGUGUUAGCAUGUGUGUAAGUGUAUGAGUGUGAGCAUUUGAGUAUAUGUGUCAGCAUGUGUGUGAGUGUAUGUGUAUGACCAUGUGUAUGUGUGUGAGUGAAAGCAUGUGAGUAUAGGUGUGUGAGUGUGUGUGUAUGUAAAUAUGUGUGAGCAUGUGUUUUGAGUAUAUGUGUGUGAGCAUGCAUGUGCGAGUAUGUGUGUGAACGUGUGUGUGUGUGAGAAUGUGUGUGGGUGAGUGUGAGUGCAUAUUUGUGAGUGUGUGAGCAUGUAUGUGUGAGUGUAUGAGUGUGUGAGCAUGUGUGUGAGUGUGUAUGUGUGUGAGCAUGUAUGUGAGUGUAUGAGCAUGUGUGAGCGUGUGUGUGUAUGUGACUGUGUGUGCUGGGAAAUGUGAAGGUGCGUGGGAAUCUUGAAGAUCAAGAAUCAAAUAAGAUAAAUAUUUCCAAAG
RNAcentral lists this long non-coding RNA (1826 nucleotides) under Macaca fascicularis (crab-eating macaque). Its description in RNAcentral is "lncRNA (ENSMFAG00000050063.1)". Lineage: Eukaryota; Metazoa; Chordata; Mammalia; Primates; Cercopithecidae. The record is from RNAcentral.